GGCCCCUGCAGGUUGGGGAGGCUGCCUGGGAAGGAUGGGUUCAGCGGGUGGCAUUGGCUGCUGAGGUGAGCAGGCGCCGCCAAGCCUGCUUUAAACGUGACAGCUGGCCUUUGUUUGCCGAACAGAUGUGGGCUGCAGUUCCCAUGAACUGGGGAGGACUUGCAAAGCUGGGCCCCUUCUUAAUCGAUCUGCAAAUGUACCGAGGAAUUGAAGACAUGUGGCUGCUAAGCAGUGUGGAGUGUAGACCCAAGUCGUGGGCUUUGCCACCAAAUAGGCCUAAGUCAAAAACCCCUGCCCACCACUGCAUUAACUGUGCCGUCUCCAUCAGGUCAUCAGCCGGCUCCUGACCGCCCUCUUCUCCACACUGAAGGUCAAGGGGAGGCGGGUGACCAGGUUUGCACCCAGCCUGGCUCCUCCUGAGUGGCUUCUUUGGUCCUGAAAGAUCUUCAGAUUCUCAUCUGGGUUUCUGAGGCUACAGUUUCUCUCUGGCCCAGCAACAUGGAUGGAGCUGGAGAAUAUUUUAUAAGUGAAAGAAGCCGGUUACAGAAAUUCGACCUCGCAGGAGCUUGCAUCUAUGGGGAUGGAGUUUUGAUUGGACAGAAGAGGUAAGUUCUGGAGAUGGGCUGCAGAGAAAUGGUGAGGGGAGGGGAUAAGCACGUACUGCAUCCUUGGAGACAGCUCAGAGUAAACAAAAGUCUGUGAGGUGAGGACCUAGCAUGAUCCAAUUGUUUCCCAAUGUAUAAACACACCCCAGUCUCACUGUGUAUACUGUGAAGGGAUACAAAUGUUUUGUCCAAGAAAAAUUUUAAAGAAAAAAAAAUUUUGUUGUUCUACAAAUAUGCUGAUCUUGAUGAUUAAACCAAUCUUGCAUUCCACUGACGGCCCUGAGCUGAUCCUUCAGAGAUCCAGCCCUGGCAUGGCAUGCUUUUCUUUCCCAUCAUAUAGGUUGUUCUCUCUCCCAGAAGCCCCACAGAGGUAUCCUUCCUGUCUUUCAAGUGUUAAUUUAAACACCCCUUCUGGAAAAGAUCUUUCUUUCAGUUGCCUCCGCUCCCCAGGUAAAAGGGCAGCAGAGCCCAUCUCUCUCUCCCCCUCUGACCAGGUUCACCUUUGCCUCUCCCAUUGAAACCACCUUGUUCUUGCUAGGCCAAGCUCUCCGACUCUCUGCCCUCCCAGAGAGAACUCGCUUAAUUUGUUCACGGAUGGGACCUUGCAUAGGUCAGGCAAACAGUAGGUACUCAGUAAGUGCUUGUGCCAAGUGGGUCAGCUCUAGUUAACCUCACCAAUCUCUCUGUGUCAAAUUCUGGGCUGUCAUUCCAGGGACACCUUGUCUAUUGCUGCGUCGGCCCUCAUGAUUGUCCUCUUUCCAUCUCUUUCCACAGAGGGCUUGUAGGAUCCUGCACAGACAGUGAAGUGCAGAAUGGUAGAAAAUUAAGACCCAGAAGCAAGAGAUGGAGAGGGCAGAGGAGUGGGCAGCAGUCACAGUGCGGGCUCCAUCCCGCUUCCGAGGGACCAGGCUGGGUUUUCUCAAGGGCAGCUACAAGAACUGGCUGGGUCUUCAUCCCCUGGAUGAAGCUUGCCGUGAACAUCACUGCUCUCAGAAAGUUUUUGAUGCAGAAGGGUGGCACAGAGCUCCAGGUUACGUUCUCGGGAAAGAACUUGCCGAGUGGGUUUUCCCGCAGGUAUUUGUAUGUUUUGACAGUUAGUAGAGCAGGUGACAUGUUUUUCAAUAGAAAUUGAGGAUCCUGAUCAGAACCUAUACCUGUCUGGCUGUCACAGUUGCGGGAGUCACCACACUCACUCCAAGGGACUUGUGAAUGGAAACCCUUCCUGCCUGCCUUCCCGCUUCCCUUCCCGCCUCCUCUUCCCUCCCCAGUUGUCUCUUCUUUCAGUCCUCCCUUCCACGUCACCUCUUUCUCUCCGCUGUCAAGACAGGGCGGUGUCAAACUCACGACCCUCCUCCCGGAGCCGCCCAAAUGCUGGAUCACAGGUGUGCACUCUCAUGCCUGAUUUGCACAAUGGACAUCUCAAGGCCACAUUAGAGUUUUAUGCCUGCCUGGGGUGACCAUGUCCCAGCACGUGUGUGUGUGUGUGUGUGUGUGUGUGUGUGUGUGUGUGUGUGUGUGUGUGGUUUUGAAUCACCAAUGGAGCAUUCGUGCAAGUUCUGCUUCUUUAGUUGACCUGUGACCUGAGGCCAGCCACAUCAAGGAUUUCCUCCCCCUUGGUGGGGUGACUUCAAAGAUGAUCCCUACAAAUUCUGCCUCCUGGCUCUCCUGCUCUUGGAUAAUACCCUCAUGGGAAGUCUGGGCUGGCUUGUGACUCAGUUUAACAAAAAGGACAAAGAACUGUGAUGCAAUGCCAGGCUUAGGCUGAGCCUCAGGAAACUCUGGAAGCUUCUCCUUGUGAGACCCUGAGCUGCCAGGUAAGAAGCCAGGCUAGUGUCCUUCAGUGACCGCAUGGGAAGAUUGCUCGUGGAGACGUCACAUAAGUGGAGACAGAACCCCAGCCCUUCUGCCACCCUUUUAAGCACAAGCCAUAUGAAGAAUCAAACUGGGAUCUCCCAGUCUGGCCCAGCUGUGUGCCCAGCUGCUACUGCAUGCAGCAGAAGAGGCAUCCAGCUGAGCCUUGUCAGUCUCUGCCCAGUCAACUCCCAAGAGAUGGGUAGAUACUAAGCUAAGUUUGGGAUGAUUUGUCGGCCGGGACAGAUAACAGAAAUGCUCGGGUACCACACCCACUCCUAUAUCUGUUGCUCUCUACAGGAGUCGCUGGCCUGGGAUGUAUGAGGGGGAUCCCCUGCCCUCCUGUCCUCCUCACAAUUUCUUCCACAUCCUAGGAUUGAGACACUCUUAGGCUUUGAUCCAAGUGAGUGGUUAGUGGGGUCUGGUAUCUGGCUUGGAAGCCCCCUUAGAAUGGGUCAGGGGCCUUUUGGAAUUCUGGCAGCAUGUCACCCGGCAGACAGGCACCUGUUUAAGUGGCUAAUUCAGUCAAGGAGCCGAGACACGCUACACUGCUCCACCGUACCUGGAAUCCUAACAGGCCGGGACACCAGAGAGAUCAUCAGAACCGGAGGCGUGCUGACCCGGCCCCAGGCAUUGGGCUGAGGUCUGCUCAGGAUUCAGAGCCUUUGGGACUGCAACCAGCAAAAACACUGGGGUCUGCUUGCCCAGGACCCUGACAGCUUCCUGGGACAGACUCACCUAAGAGGAGAAGAUGGUAAAAAUCAUGGGCAGGCUGUGGGAAGGGCUGGGGAUCUGGGCUCAGGAGAGGCUUUCUCUAGAGGUACAGACCCCAGCCCAGCUUCAGCCGAGGGCAGAUAGCAAGAGGCUGUAACUGGAGAGAAAAUAGAUUUCUCUGCUUUCCCAGCUGGAGCACACAGGGAGAAGGAACCCUGGACAACACAGAGAUGCUUCCCAGGGUCGGAGGGCUGAGAAUCAGGGACUCCUCAUGUUUCCUUUCAGCUUCUUCCUCACCCACUAUAUGUUGGGGAAAAUUAUUUUAAGGUGUGUUACUUUUGUUUAUGUUGCAUUUGUUUAACUCUGUGAGGAUGUGUUACUGUGCCUGACUAAAAUGCCAGGCGGUGGUGGUGCACGCCUUAAAUCCUAGCACUUGGGAGGCAGAGCCAGGCAGAUCUCUGUGAGUUCGAGGCCAGCCUGGGCUACAAAGUGAGUUCCAGGAAAGGCGCAAAGCUACACAGAGAAAACCUGUCUCGAAAAAAUAAAAUAAAAUAAAGAAAAUAAAUAAAAUACCUGACGGUCUAAUAAAAAGCUGAAUGGCCAAUGGCGAGGCAGGAGAAAGGAUAGGCGAGGCAGGCAGGCAGAGAGAAUUAAUAGAAGGAGAAAUCUGGAAGGAAUAAGAGCCAGAGAAGGAGGAAGACUCCUUGGCCAGCCACCCAAUUACACAGCAAGCCACGGAGUUAAACAAACGCAACAUAAAUAGAUGUAACACACUUUACAAUAAUAGUCCUCAACAGCUGUGCGUCACCCUCCCUCUUCUUCACACCCAAGUUGGAGCCUGAGGGCUGAAAGACCCGGGUCAAGUGCACUCCUUAACACCCUUCCUUCAGCCAUACUCAUUCCCAGUACCUAGCAGUGUUUUCUAGCAGCUUCUCCCUCUUGAUCCAGGCAGCUGUGGCGAUGGCUAAGCAGCUAUCCCAGGUGUGACUUCCAGGUAUGCCUGUCUAUGCACGGGCCAAGACAGUGUCUGUGAGGAGCUGAGCAUUCUGGGGACUACCCAUGGGUACGCUUUCCACAGUGAUGGGCAGAAAUCAGAUACAAACAAGGGUGGGAGGUGGGGGAUUAGAAGGAGACAGUCAGUGUCGGAGUUGUCCAAGUGCAGGGUUGACAUCUGGGUGUCACUUGGAACUCUUCACACAGCCUGCACCCACGUGUCUCAUUUGGCUCUCUCUAGUCCUGGUCUUGGUGAGAAGUUAGCACCCCUCCUGCAUGCAACACCAGCUCCCCACUUUCUGGCACCCUGGAGAGCUCCCAAAGGACACUCCUUGGCCUGGCAGGGCCCCUCCAUUGUGUUUGGAGCUGCUGAUGGAGUGGGAUACUUCUCAAUGAGUACAGGUAUCAGAGACCAGGGGCUUGAGUGUACCUGAGACUCAUGGGGGCCUUUGGAGGAUUGGGGGGUGUGGCCUAAGGGUUAGGAGUGUGUGAAAAAGCCAGGUUUCUCUAGGACUGGUAGAGGAUGGAGUCAAGAGAAAAUGUCAACUCAGCCCUGUUUCUAUGACCUUGUUCCUAAACUCCAGCUGGGUGGUUUGGAAAACAGGUUACAUCAAUUUUCAGCAUACUUUCCCUUGCCUAGGAUCUUUGGUCCAUCUACUGAUCCCCCAGUGGACAGCUGUUACCUGUUCCUGCUCACAUGGGGCAAACUGAGGCUCACGGGGGCCAGGCUGCUCACUCAACAGGCACAGCAUCAUGCAGUUAGGAAGAGAACUGCCAGGGAAGGAAUCCAGUUCUGCCUCUCUGUGCCCAUGGGGAACCAAAGCCAGGAAUCCCAAGUGCAUCCUGAAGGCCAGGUGGUCAGCCGGACACCGAAAACCAACUCCACAGCCUCUCUUUAAUUUCCGACCCCCCUGUGUCACAUAGCUCAGGUGAUGCUUAGCCAGCUCACCAUGCAUUUCCAGAUUUGUGACAAGCCCGUCACUAUCCUGGGUUGACAAUGUGUGACCCCAACUCCCCACCCUUCUUCAGCCGUAGCGGCCCAGGUGCCUCUCUGACUGCUGCCAGUGCAGGACAGCUCAGCUAGAGCCUGCUGUGGCUCCUCCUCGGCUAGAAGCUUUUCAUCCUGUUCCCUGGUAGCCCCCAAGGUCACGCCUCACUUUGACAGAGAGCAGAGGACAAAGCCCAGACAGGUGGAAGCAAGAAGGACCCACAGCGGGGAACACCUGUCCUGACCUUCCCAAACCCCAGGUCCCCCACCAGGCAGUCUUUGAAAAUGGAACCUGUGCUUCUGCUCA
Molecule: long non-coding RNA, 5458 nt
Organism: Peromyscus californicus insignis
Lineage: Eukaryota; Metazoa; Chordata; Mammalia; Rodentia; Cricetidae
Exons: 4
Source: RefSeq, a predicted model, not a curated record